Molecule: transfer RNA, 67 nt
Filed under: Pheidole flavens
Lineage: Eukaryota; Metazoa; Arthropoda; Insecta; Hymenoptera; Formicidae
Description: tRNA-Asp
Source: RNAcentral
AAAAAAUUAGUUAAAUAAAUAACAUUAAAUUGUCAAUUUAAAAUUAUUAUUCUAAUAAUAUUUUUUU